UAAUCAUAUGCUUAUGACGGUAGAAGGAAUUUUGACCGAGUUCUAAACCUACUCGGUUGAGGCUGGGUUAUUUCUCACACAUCUAUCUAACGCUAUUUUUCAUAUCUUCAAAAACCGCCAUUAAUUCUCACACCAUCACAACAGAGAGGCCCGACUGUGAUUCACGCAUGCAAUUUGACAAUCGAACAUCUCCAUCCCACCAUCGUUGACAUCUGUUCCAAAGGGAAUAGAAGACGAAGAACCCAUCCUUACGAAGUUACGAUUUGGAUUCAAUUAUUCUAGAGUCUAGGCGUUUGACCUCGUCAUCAGUCUAAACGCAAUUCACCGGUCCUUCAUCUUGUAGAAUUGCCCAUAUCCUUGAAGUUGAACUGAUUGGAGAAAGAGGGUACAUAUUAUCAAGCACAAGACGCAUUCUUAGUUACAAUCAAAGUACUAUGUAGUUUAUAAUUUUUCUAUGUAAAAAGAUUGGAGAAUAUUGUGUUUUUAUUUAGUUGCCAAUGGAACUUUUUAUUUCAAGUACAUUUUAAUGUAAAGAUAUUAGAAAUUUUCUAUUAAUAAUAAUAUUUCGUUAUUCCA
Molecule: long non-coding RNA, 576 nt
Organism: Beta vulgaris subsp. vulgaris (sugar beet)
Lineage: Eukaryota; Viridiplantae; Streptophyta; Magnoliopsida; Caryophyllales; Amaranthaceae
Exons: 3
Source: RefSeq, a predicted model, not a curated record